RNAcentral lists this ribosomal RNA (511 nucleotides) under uncultured bacterium. Its description in RNAcentral is "bacterial SSU rRNA". It matches the Rfam family "Bacterial small subunit ribosomal RNA", at positions 30 to 509 of the family's 1533-position model. The record is from RNAcentral.
AUUGAACGCUGGCGGCAUGCCUUACACAUGCAAGUCGAACGGCAGCACGGGGAGCAAUCCUGGUGGCGAGUGGCGAACGGGUGAGUAAUAUAUCGGAACGUGCCCAGUCGUGGGGGAUAACGCAGCGAAAGUUGUGCUAAUACCGCAUACGAUCUAUGGAUGAAAGCGGGGGAUCGCAAGACCUCGCGCGAUUGGAGCGGCCGAUAUCAGAUUAGGUUGUUGGUGAGGUAAAAGCUCACCAAGCCUGCGAUCUGUAGCUGGUCUGAGAGGACGACCAGCCACACUGGAACUGAGACACGGUCCAGACUCCUACGGGAGGCAGCAGUGGGGAAUUUUGGACAAUGGACGAAAGUCUGAUCCAGCAAUGCCGCGUGCAGGACGAAGGCCUUCGGUUGUAAACGUAGUCUUUUGUUACUAGAAACGAAAAAGUAACUUUAAAUAAACUAACCUAAGAAGGACGUCAUAGACGGUACUAGUAAGUAAGUAAAGUACAACCGGCUAACUACGUACG